Molecule: long non-coding RNA, 2249 nt
Filed under: Homo sapiens (human)
Lineage: Eukaryota; Metazoa; Chordata; Mammalia; Primates; Hominidae
Description: non-protein coding lnc-VIPR2-1:1
Source: RNAcentral
GUGCAUUGAGCGCGCUCCAGCUGCCGGGACGGAGGGGGCGGCCCCCGCGCUCGGGCGCUCGGCUACAGCUGCGGGGCCCGAGGUCUCCGCGCACUCGCUCCCGGCCCAUGCUGGAGGCGGCGGAACCGCGGGGACCUAGGACGGAGGCGGCGGGCGCUGGGCGGCCCCCGGCACGCUGAGCUCGGGAUGCGGACGCUGCUGCCUCCCGCGCUGCUGACCUGCUGGCUGCUCGCCCCCAUUUUUAGUAGAGACAGGGUUUCACCAUGUUAGCCAGGAUGGUCUCGAUCUCCUGACCUCGUGAUGGGCCCGCCUCGGCCUCCCAAAGUGCUGGGAUUAAGGCGUGAGCCACUGCGCCCGGCCCAAGAGAAUAGGGGAGCCAAGGAGGAAAUGUGGAAACGCAGUUGUGUGGCCCAGCACGAGCCUGGGCGACCACCGGGUGACAUCCGUCCCACAUCAGGGCGGCCUCCCAGGUCCCAUAAGGGUAGCCCCCUCAUCUGCAGGACAGAGGGAAGCCAGUCAGGGCCCCCCUGACGUUAGGACCAGGAGAAAUCAACAGGAGGGCAGCCCGUCCUCUCUCUUGGGGCGCCCACCCGGCCCGGCUGAGCCCUGCCCCACCCAACUCCACAGGGCUGUUUUGCCUCCCCACGGAAGGCGGGCUGAGGAGACAACCAGAUCAGGAGAGCAAGGUCAUGAAGGAGGGGACCUCUCCACACAGGUGUUCCGUGGGACCCUCAGCAGCUCUGGCUCUGCCUCAGGAGGUCACCUGCCGCCCUGUGGGAGCCGCAGAGCCUGACGCUCAGCCCCAGGCCAGCUGCGGCCAGGCCUGCGGGCCCCUGGUGAUGGGGUUACGUGGGGUGCGGGAUACAGCUGAGUGGGAACCGGAAACCUAUUCUCUUUUUAACAAAAAUAAUCUUAGGAUAAGAAUUAUUUUAACAACAUAUAAAACUGUUUCAAGCCCUCCUCCCCAGAGCUGGCGCUCAGCAGCCCUAGCGGCUGCUCCUUCAGGCGAAGGGUGGUUUGCAGAUGUGGGGAGGGUGUCUGGGGACGUUGCUGAGCCAGCUGCAGAAGGGUGGGGAUAUCAGGGCACAGUCUCCAUGUGUGUGCCAAGCCCUGGCCCCCACAGCGCUCGAUGGACCUCAGCAAGCUGCCCAGCCCUGGCCCAGGUGCCCCGACUGUGGGACUCAGUUGUUCUGAGCACAUUUGACUCCACUUUUCCCUUAAAAAUGAAUGUCUUGUUCCUGUGCAUUGGUGGCAUCACAGACCCCAGCUGGGGCGCGAUGUCAAAGGUCGGGACAGCUGUGCCGGGAGGCAGCCACAGGGAAGCUCACACAUCCUGUCAGUGUCACCUUGGUUUGCAAAACCCAUAUCCCCGGUAAAAUGAGGCCGGACAGAGGGGCUGUUAGGACAGCAAAGCAGCAGUGUCCAGAGACCCCUCAAUCCCCAAAGGUCCGCACCCUGUCCUGCACACCCUGGGCCACGCCGGCCACACCCCUCUGCUGCAACAAGCUCAUCCCUGGACUUCUGGGAGAAUGAACCCGAGGUUGGUUUGGGGAGACAGGUGAGGCGGUCGGAUCUACAGAACAACCCACCAUUUCUGGGGGCCGCAGAGGAUCCAUCACAGACGGAUACUGGGGAGUAAACGGCCCAGGCCAGGUGCCCAGGAAAGGACGGCUGAGCAUGUGGAGCGAGAGGGAGGCAGGUGGACGCUGCAGACCCCAGGUUCAGUGCGGCCCCUCGGCUGUUCCUCCCCUGUAGGGUUUGGACAGACCCACCCCCAGCCUUGCCCAGCUUUCAAAGGACAAAAGGGAGCAUCCCCCACCUACUCUCAGGUUUUUGAGGAAACAAAGAUUUGUGGUAACUGAAGGUGUUGGGUCAGUGGCCAGGUGCCGACACUGAGCUGUGACCCAGAGGGGACGCUGAGGAAGUGGGCGUGAGUGGACGUGUCAGGUGGUUACCAGGCACUGGUUGUUGAUGGUCGGUGGUUGGGUGUGGGCAGUCAUCAGUCAUCAGGUGUGCUCAGGGGACAAUCUCCCCUCAACCGCACAUGUGCCACUGUUCAGCGGAGCUGACUGGUUUCUCCUGGUAGAGGGGCCGGCUGUUUCCUGACAGAUGCCUGGUGAGCAGGGGAAGCAGGACCCAGUGGUCAGCAGGUGUCUUUAACUGUCAUUGUGUGUGGAAUGUCGCAGACUCCUCCACGUGGCGGGAAUGAGCUGUGUAAAUACUUCAAUAAAGCCUGACUUCACAUCUGC